This 440-nucleotide ribosomal RNA is filed under the name uncultured bacterium. Its description in RNAcentral is "partial 16S ribosomal RNA". It matches the Rfam family "Bacterial small subunit ribosomal RNA", at positions 338 to 795 of the family's 1533-position model. The record is from RNAcentral.
CCUACGGGGGGCAGCAGUGGGGAAUAUUGCACAAUGGGGGAAACCCUGAUGCAGCGACGCCGCGUGAGUGAAGAAGUAUUUCGGUAUGUAAAGCUCUAUCAGCAGGGAAGAAAAUGACGGUACCUGAUUAAGAAGCCCCGGCUAACUACGUGCCAGCAGCCGCGGUAAUACGGAGGGGGCAAGCGUUAUCCGGAUUUACUGGGUGUAAAGGGGGCGUAGACGGCAGCACAAGUCUGGAGUGAAAUGCCGGGGCUUAACCCCGGAACUGCUUUGGAAACUGUGCAGCUUGAGUGCAGGAGAGGUAAGUGGAAUUCCUAGUGUAGCGGUGAAAUGCGUAGAUAUUAGGAGGAACACCAGUGGCGAAGGCAGCUUACUGGACUGUAACUGACGCUGAGGCUCGAAAGCGUGGGGAGCAAACAGGAUUAGAUACCCUGGUAGUC